This 460-nucleotide ribosomal RNA is filed under the name uncultured bacterium. RNAcentral's name for it is "partial 16S ribosomal RNA". It matches the Rfam family "Bacterial small subunit ribosomal RNA", at positions 338 to 795 of the family's 1533-position model. The record is from RNAcentral.
CCUACGGGAGGCAGCAGUGAGGAAUAUUGGUCAAUGGGCGCGAGCCUGAACCAGCCAAGUAGCGUGAAGGAUGACUGCCCUACGGGUUGUAAACUUCUUUUAUAAAGGAAUAAAGUGAGGCACGUGUGCCUUUUUGUAUGUACUUUAUGAUUAAGGAUCGGCUAACUCCGUGCCAGCAGCCGCGGUAAUACGGUGGAUCCGAGCGUUAUCCGGAUUUAUUGGGUUUAAAGGGAGCGUAGAUGGGUUGUUAAGGGAGUUGGGAAAGUUUGCGGGUCAAACGUAAAAUUGCAAUUGAUACUGGCAGGAUAGAGUACAGGUGAAGGAGGCGGAAGUCGUGGAGUAGCGGUGAAAGGCUUAGAGAGAACGAAGAAAUCCGAGGGCGAAGGCAGCUGACUAAACUGCAACUGACAUUGAGGCACGAAAGUGUGGGGAUCAAACAGGAUUAGAUACCCGAGUAGUC